RNAcentral lists this ribosomal RNA (402 nucleotides) under uncultured bacterium. RNAcentral's name for it is "bacterial SSU rRNA". It matches the Rfam family "Bacterial small subunit ribosomal RNA", at positions 355 to 774 of the family's 1533-position model. The record is from RNAcentral.
UGGGGAAUAUUGGACAAUGGGCGCAAGCCUGAUCCAGCCAUGCCGCGUGAGUGAUGAAGGCCCUAGGGUUGUAAAGCUCUUUUGUGCGGGAAGAUAAUGACGGUACCGCAAGAAUAAGCCCCGGCUAACUUCGUGCCAGCAGCCGCGGUAAUACGAAGGGGGCUAGCGUUGCUCGGAAUUACUGGGCGUAAAGCGUGCGUAGGCGGUUCGUUAAGUCUGUCGUGAAAGCCCUGGGCUCAACCUGGGAAUUGCGAUGGAUACUGGCGAGCUAGAGUACGGUAGAGGAUGGUGGGAUUCCCGGUGUAGCGGUGAAAUGCGUAGAGAUCGGGAGGAACACCCGUGGCGAAGGCGGCCAUCUGGACCAGUACUGACGCUCAUGCACGAAAGCGUGGGGAGCAAACA